RNAcentral lists this ribosomal RNA (381 nucleotides) under uncultured archaeon. Its description in RNAcentral is "bacterial SSU rRNA". It matches the Rfam family "Archaeal small subunit ribosomal RNA", at positions 62 to 449 of the family's 1478-position model. The record is from RNAcentral.
ACACAGCAAUGAGUGGCAUACGGCUCAGUAACACGUANUCAACAUGCCCAGGGGACGUGGAUAACCUCGGGAAACUGAGGAUAAACCGCGAUAGGUCACUACUUCUGGAAUGGGUAAUGACCCAAACCUAUAUGGCCCCUGGAUUGGACUGCGGCCGAUCAGGCUGUUGGUGAGGUAAUGGCCCACCAAACCUGUAACCGGUACGGGCUCUGAGAGGAGGAGCCCGGAGAUGGGCACUGAGACAAGGGCCCAGGCCCUAUGGGGCGCAGCAGGCGCGAAACCUCUGCAAUAGGCGAAAGCUUGACAGGGUUACUCUGAGUGAUUUCCGUUAAGGAGAUCUUUUGGCACCUCUAAAAAUGGUGCAGAAUAAGGGGUGGGCAA